This 716-nucleotide long non-coding RNA is filed under the name Pogona vitticeps (central bearded dragon). Its description in RNAcentral is "lncRNA (ENSPVIG00000003510.1)". Lineage: Eukaryota; Metazoa; Chordata; Lepidosauria; Squamata; Agamidae. The record is from RNAcentral.
ACAAAGGGCAGGAAGUGUUUCCUUAUUCUCCCAUUUGACCACAAUAGAAUUGCAAAUGCAUUGAGAUCUGUUCCUUUCACAAUGGCAGGACAGGGACAUACAGUACACUCUUUCUCACACACAAAGAACUCGUUCCAAAAUUCUGACCAUAAUGUUGUUGAGCGGUACUACUUGGUAAGAAAGACGGAAAGCCUUUCUGAUUCUCACCUGAACACUCCAGCCAAUGAGAAGCUACCCAGGGCCCAUGCUUCCAAAAUUCUACAAAAUAUAAACCCUGGUGCACGAAACCACCAUAACUAUCCGGCUUGCCAUGUGAUUGAAUGCUGAACGAAACAACUAUGAAGGUGCUUUGGUUCCUCCUUUCCACUCUUUCAUGGAUAUAUCUAGCUACCCAAGUUUUCUGUCAAGGUGACUUUGGGCCUUAUCAGGCUGCUAUCGUCCAGUGUCUUCUCAGUUACGGAGGCUUAUGCAUAACCGGAUCCGAGUGUCCGCCAUAUUCAAUCAAGCCUACACGAUGCCAUCCAUGGGCUGUUUGCUGUAAAAGCCUGGUAGAUACGACUGAGAAAUGUGUAUCCAAAGGCGGAGUUUGUAUAUCCCCGUGUCCUUCUCGUUUAUACCAAAAUGGAGUUUGCAGCAAUGGCAAGGCAUGCUGCAUGAGGUAAGCAGCUUUCCCCUGUGUAUACUUUCAGUGUCACGAAUAGAGAUGGGCAUGGACU